Molecule: ribosomal RNA, 530 nt
Filed under: uncultured bacterium
Lineage: Bacteria
Description: bacterial SSU rRNA
Rfam family: Bacterial small subunit ribosomal RNA
Source: RNAcentral
AAUAGAUACCCGGGUAGUCCAUGCCGUAAACGUUGGGCACUAGGUGUGGGGCUCAUUCCACGAGUUCCGUGCCGCAGCAAACGCAUUAAGUGCCCCGCCUGGGGAGUACGGCCGCAAGGCUAAAACUCAAAGGAAUUGACGGGGGCCCGCACAAGCGGCGGAGCAUGCGGAUUAAUUCGAUGCAACGCGAAGAACCUUACCAAGGCUUGACAUGCACGGGAAGCCACCAGAGAUGGUGGUCUCUUUGGACACUCGUGCACAGGUGGUGCAUGGUUGUCGUCAGCUCGUGUCGUGAGAUGUUGGGUUAAGUCCCGCAACGAGCGCAACCCUCGUCCCAUGUUGCCAGCGGGUUAUGCCGGGGACUCAUGGGAGACUGCCGGGGUCAACUCGGAGGAAGGUGGGGAGUGACGUCAAAUCAUCAUGCCCCUUAUGUCUUGGGCUUCACGCAUGCUACAAUGGCCGGUACAAAGGGCUGCGAUGCCGUAAGGUGGAGCGAAUCCCAAAAAGCCGGUCUCAGUUCGGAUUGGGGU